AGAUCCCAUUUAAGGGCUGACCACCACUAAGGUAGCAUCUCUUUCAGGAGUUUGCUCCUUUGUGGAGUUCUUGUAUUGAGCCUUGAAAUCAGUGAGCACCUAUCUUGAAGGCCUCAGGGUUGGAGGAGGAACAGGAAUUAAGUUCUUCAGCUUUUGUUCUUCCUGAAUGUUCUUCCUGAAAGUCUUAUGAGGAUAACUUGUCUGCUGUUCCUGCUGAUGUUAUAGCAGGCGUCGACCCCCGGUCCACAAGCGGCAGCUGCUGGGAGAUAAAUUGCAGCCACCAGCAGAGGUCCCCCGCAGCUUGAAGCUGUCAGCGCAGCCAGAGGCUGGAGAGGGGGAGGCGAAGCUGGGGAGAACUCCUGCAGCACCUCGCAAAAUCAGAAAGAAGAGGGACAAGGGCCAGCCAUUGACAACAUUUACUCUUUGACAUUUCCAGCUUUGUCAGUGAUAUUUCGUAGGACUAUGAAAACCAAACAUAUAUUUUCCUCAUCAUAUUUGUGUAUGUACCUGCCUACCUACAUAGAAGAACAAUACCAUUCUCAUUAAAGUGCUGCUGGAUAUUGUGGUGAGAUGCAUCUUCCCAAGAUCUAUAGAUAUGCAGGUUGUAGACAGCAUCGUGCUGCCAGUCAAUGUUGUACAUGGAACAUGCAGGAGCACUUGCUUCUGCUCCACCUGGCUCAGGACCACUCAACAAGUGCGAGACUGGAAAUGCUAUACUAAAGAGGCCAGCAGAUUGAGAAUUCAAACGGAGAAAAAGAAAGAAUCACCAGCUAGACCUGGGGAGACGUUUGACAGCUGAAAACUCAAGAGUAGAGGUUUCGUACAUUUACUGACCCCUGCGGGCAGAGCUGAAUUUGGCAACAAAAAGAGGUAGGCCUCCUUGGGAAUGCAGCUGUUCCCAGUAGACUGUAUCAUGCCGUCUUCAAAGAACAGUAACAAUAUUGAUUUCCUCUACACUUCCAGAUGUGCUCCUUCCUUUAAACCAAAAGUUGUAAGCUCCCACUACCUGCUGCCACUGGGGAACUAAACCAUCUAACGCCCUGGAUGAAUAUUCCUUGACGGUGCUUUGGGAUGUAACUUUGAACCUCUAAUCUCAGGUGAGAUGAGAAAUACUUAAAAAUAUGAGUAAGAUAUGGUAGGUUUUCAUGCCUUCACUACUGUGUGAGAACUAAACCUUGCCAGCUUCUCACCAUGUUGAGCUGAAGUGCUUUUUAAGAACACCUAAAAGAGAUGUAAGCACUGGAUGCGUGAAUUUACAUCAUAGAUAUAUUACAGCCAUGCUUGUAUGAGCUGAUGGUGCUAAUGAAAGUGACUUCUGUUUAAUUUUUCCCAGUCUGUUGUGAAAUAGGGAAAACUCACUUAACAGAUGAUUAACGCUAUCUGAAACUACCCAUGUCUCAACCAUCUUUAAAGGAAGCAGACUAAAGACUCUUGUCUCUGCAUUGCUAGUGAUCAUCUGAAAACAAUAUGAUCUGAUCUGCACAGAACAGUGGCUUUUUCAACCACCUGAAAUUUACUUCAGUUCUCUAAAUGUGAGCCAACUUAAGGAGUAAACUCAAGCAAGUCUCUACCUUGGAUAAAAUAUAUACCCCUACCUCAGUCUUACAGGAUUAUAUAUCUUGUAUCAUAUAUAUUUCUUUUAUUUCAGCAUGGAAGAUGCAUGGCUUUGGAUAAUGACUGAAGUUUCUGCUGAUUUUGGAGUGUGCAUGCUGCUGUAACCUGCAGACUCUUUUGAUUCAUGAAAGCCAUUUCAACUGUAUAUUGCAUUUCCAUAUGAAAUACUACCUAACAUUUUCAGAGUGAACAAUAUCCAUUAUCUUUGUACAAAAGCAUUCAUCUUAGCUGAGAAGUGUGCAGGAAAAACCCUUCCAGCUGAGGAGUUAAUAAUGAAAAAGCCAUUGGCGUAAUUCUAGAUAGUUUUCUUUUUGCUUGCCUUCCUUUUGCCUUCCUUUUCCAGUUUAUAUCUUGCACAAAUGAAGAGGACAUCAUGAGCUGAACAUGUCUUUGACUGCUUGCAGAUACAAAAUGAAGCAGGAGUUAUCUGAGAAAGGGAAAUGAACCUUUAGUCAAGAGCUAUACCUGUCCAAAUCUUGCUUACUAACCACACGGUCAUUUCCUGAGAAGACUAACAAGAAAGAGGGAAGGAAUCGAGUAGCAUCUAGGUAUUUAAAAAACCACACAAAUUCUUACAGUGCUCUUGAGUUGAUGAAGCCUUUGAAGGAAGAAGCCAUCCAUUUAUUUUGUUUGCCUAUGUGUGUAACUCUUAGCCAAGAAAGGCCAUUGUGUACUUUCUUCUAUUUUAACUGGUAUAAGGCUGAAAAAAGCAGAAACUGCAGAUGUUUUCUCUCUCUAGGAAACCUGGAGAUUGACUGCUUUUAGAAUAUCUACAGGUGUUUUUGGUAAUGAUUAAAUUCUCACUGAGUCAUAUCUGUCCAGAAGUCAUACUGAGUAGUGACAAUGCACUCUGAUACUUUAGUUAAAAUAGUAAGCUGAUUUAAAAUAAUAGGGGACCAAGGACUGUUACAUAUGUGUAAAAGUUUUGUUGAUCCACGUGCCAAAACUGCAGUUCCCUACCUAGACCAUUUGGGGAAAUUGCCAUUGACAGGUUUCAUCAGUGUGUGGCAAAUUAUUUUAUCUCCUAUAUUCAAUGGGUGUAAUGCUAAGGCUAAUGUCAAAGAGCAAAACUUUGUCUGUGUUGUUACACUGGAACAUGUUUAUUAAAUGAAACUUUACUGGCUUCUUAAAAAUUUAAUUAAAAGACUGUUUGCAGA
Molecule: non-coding RNA, 2771 nt
Organism: Coturnix japonica (Japanese quail)
Lineage: Eukaryota; Metazoa; Chordata; Aves; Galliformes; Phasianidae
Source: RefSeq, a predicted model, not a curated record